AAUUUCCAGCUGGAGUCUGCAGUGUUCUGGGAAUCCUCGGAUAAUCUGGCGGCGGCUAUAAACAGCUCAGGCCCUCGAUGGCAGCGUGGAGCCCCCGAGCGGCUGGAGAGGGGUCAGGGCUCCCACAGGCAGGAGCCACCUGGACCACCCCAGGCACCAGCGCCCAAGGGGAGGCACAGGGAAGCUCGCAGGAGGAUUCCGUUCCUUUCCAGGUUUCUCAUCCCAGUCUUGCCAGACCUGGUGGCAGGAACAGGGAGAGGACACAACAGCAAUGCAAGAACUGGCACCUGAGUCCCAGCUUCUGUCAGGUUGAUGGCUUGCUUGUUUCCUUUGUAUUUGUUAGGUGCCAAUCUCUGAAGGGCGUUUUGGAGGAAGAAGGUCGCUCUUUUUGACCUUCUCAGAUCUGUGAUCUCAAGGUGUUUUCUGUCUUAGGUCUGCUCUUGUGAAUCUUUCUGAAUCUGUACAAAUUACUUGCUUCUGCUGUUACUAUGGAAAUCUCUGAAAUACUCUGAAAGCUCCAUUUUGUGUCAUUUCCCUCGCUUUGUCUGUGAAAGAUAAAUGCUUCUUCUCAUUCCCUUCUUGCCUCUGGAAAACCUGCAGAACAGAGGAAACAUCUUCCACUCUGGAGGUCACUGUCCCUGGGAUUUCUUAGACAAGAUGGUAAAAAUAUUCUCUUUGAGGACGGUGACUUCAAUCACUGGAUAUUCUCAGCCAAAGAAGGAAACAAGUCUAAUGAUUCUUUCCCAGAUUUGCCUUCCGAGAUAAGGAAGAAUCAGCUGAACUCCUGGGAGAACUCCACUGAGCUCAUGGAAUUUAUAAUCACUGACAAUCAUUUUCUGUGUAGCAUAGCUUCUUACCAAAAUGAGAUUUGUAUUAUCAUACUAUUAGCAGUAAUAUCAUUCUCUUUCCCUGGAGAUGCUUUAUACCUAUGGGACAGUUUUAGCCAAAGCUGACAAAAGAUGUGUAAGUCUGAUUCAAGAUAAAGUUCCAACAAAACUGAAGGCUGUGCAGAAGAGAAAAUCCAUGCUGAGGGGAGGAGAGGGACACCCUGAGUGCCACACUCUGCUCAGCAGGGCCAACAGGCCAAUCCACAGGCAGGGACAUUUCAGAAUACAUGGAGAGAAAUGUGUUAAUGCAGUGGUGUAGGUGGGCAUCUGUGGGGAUAAAGCACACAGAGUGAAAGAAAGGAGCCCUCUCAUCAUUUCCAGUCCUCACAGAAGAACUUGUCUUCCAGCAGUGGAGUUUUUAGAAGGUUGGAGACCGGCAGAGGUGCUGGAAUUUUUCUCCAGAAUUACACUUUGACUCAGCAACACACCAGUUUGGUCAAGCAGUAAAAUGAAAAGUUGCUUUUGAAAAUUUGACACAGAAGUAUAUCCUCAGUAAUUUAGGUUUUCCUUCAGCAGGACACACACAUAUAUCCUGAAAUUUAUACUAGCAGUAAGCACUUGUUAAAGUACCUUGCUGAAUUAUAUUAAAAUGUUAUAAAAAUGUGCAUACAAUAUUCUUCACUGCAGAAUACUGAAUCAGUUAAAUUACUAUAAUCUUGAUGCAAGCAUCUUUACAGAAAUAAUUUUUUUAAGAUUUGGGUGGAAAACCUGAAGUCCUUUUAAACACCCAUCAAGCAGUAUCCUUGGCAGAUAGUCGAUAUCUUGGCUUGACAUGCAGUAUUGGAAGCGUGAUUCCCAAAAUAGCCCAUGGCUGCCAACAGGCUGGUAUCUAACUGGAACAGAAUCUUUUCCAUUUUAUCAGGCAUAUGAUUUUUCAAAGCUCAGCUGGUUGCUGUAACUACAUGAAAGGUUUCCUACAUGAGGCAAGAAUGGGCACUAAAAAAUCAUUAAUGCCAAAAGAGACCAGGGUUAACCAGGGUUAUUGAAACUAAGUCUCUCUUUUUGAUGUUAUUAUGUCCAGCUUGGGGAGCCUGCAUCACAUUUAUAGUACACUGAGUCCUUUUGUGGUUUGCUGAGUGUCUUUAGCAAUGGUGACAUCAGAGAUUGUCACUGUCCUUUACCAGUUCUGGCUGUGCUCAGGCUGUAGUUCAGCCAGGUUCUAUUUGUAACAGAGCCCAAGCCAGAGUGGAUUUCUUAUUUUACUCAAUGGGCCAUGAUUGCUGAGAAGCUCCUGUUCUCUUCUGAAGUAUUGUUUGGCUAGUGCUUAGAAAGGAAAGCCAGAUCCUGGAUAAGAAGCCCAGUUAAUUCUUCCAGUUGCCUGUGUUUGGACCCAUGAUCAAACCAUAAACAAGCAGAAAAAAAGAAUGUGACAGGUAACAGAAACCUCUAAUGGACACAAGAAGACAAACCCGAAAUCCUAUGUAUUUUAACAGUUUUGAUUUGUAUCUCAUCACCUUUAUUUGAGUUUUCUUCGUUCUACUGUUAUAACCUGAGGGGGAUUGUAUGCAUGGUGUUCAGUUACUGCCAGUGCAGCCAUGCUGGAGGCGCAGCAAACUGGGAGGGGUCUGGUGCCAGUCCCUCACUCCUGCCUGUGCUCUCCAGCCAAAGUGGAGUCAUAGGGCUGGGGGCACACAGGAAAGGGGUUGGGAUUGAGCUGAUCAAGUGCUUAUCAUUUUGGGAUUGUCUGUUACUUGGAAACAAUAAUAUUUCAAUCUUACCCAGAGAAUGAAACUCGCUGGGAGCUCGGUUACUCUGAGUAGCUUUAAAAGAGAUUUAAAUGUAAAGUACUUUCAAUAAAUUCUUCUGGAAUGAGCAAUGUGCAUUUCAGUGAGGUGAAGUGAGACUCACUUCCUAAAUUUUUCCUUAUUUCUUCAGCUUCCUGAAAAAUAUUUCUCCUGGGAGCCAAUCUGCUUGUGGAAUCCUUAGGAAGGAAAUGUCUGUGGGCAUCACUGUGAGCACAUGCACCAAGUGCAGCCCCAGGCACCUGCUCUCAACCCAGAUGAAAUCAUGUCCCAGGGAUUUAGUGGAAAAAUCCAGAUGAAUGGGCUGUUUGUGAGACUAUCAGCUAUGAGAGAGAUAAACUCACUAUAAACACACAAAUAGGCCAUCUCAUAGUCAAUAGGUUUCUGUUUUUUC
Hirundo rustica (Barn swallow) is the source of this 3023-nucleotide long non-coding RNA. RefSeq lists it as uncharacterized. The transcript is spliced from 3 exons. The record is from RefSeq and is a predicted model, not a curated record. Lineage: Eukaryota; Metazoa; Chordata; Aves; Passeriformes; Hirundinidae.